AUUGAAUGCUGGCGGCAGGCCUAACACAUGCAAGUCGAGCGGAUGAAGGGAGCUUGCUCCUGGAUUCAGCGGCGGACGGGUGAGUAAUGCCUAGGAAUCUGCCUGGUAGUGGGGGAUAACGUCCGGAAACGGGCGCUAAUACCGCAUACGUCCUGAGGGAGAAAGUGGGGGAUCUUCGGACCUCACGCUAUCAGAUGAGCCUAGGUCGGAUUAGCUAGUUGGUGGGGUAAAGGCCUACCAAGGCGACGAUCCGUAACUGGUCUGAGAGGAUGAUCAGUCACACUGGAACUGAGACACGGUCCAGACUCCUACGGGAGGCAGCAGUGGGGAAUAUUGGACAAUGGGCGAAAGCCUGAUCCGGCCAUGCCGCGUGUGUGAAGAAGGUCUUCGGAUUGUAAAGCACUUUAAGUUGGGAGGAAGGGCAGUAAGUUAAUACCUUGCUGUUUUGACGUUACCAACAGAAUAAGCACCGGCUAACUUCGUG
Molecule: ribosomal RNA, 484 nt
Filed under: uncultured bacterium
Lineage: Bacteria
Description: partial 16S ribosomal RNA
Rfam family: Bacterial small subunit ribosomal RNA
Source: RNAcentral